AGAGUUUGAUCCUGGCUCAGAUUGAACGCUGGCGGCAUGCCUUACACAUGCAAGUCGAACGGUAACGCGGGGCAACCUGGCGACGAGUGGCGAACGGGUGAGUAAUACAUCGGAACGUGCCCAGUAGUGGGGGAUAGCCCGGCGAAAGCCGGAUUAAUACCGCAUACGACCUACGGGUGAAAGCAGGGGAUCGCAAGACCUUGCGCUAUUGGAGCGGCCGAUGUCAGAUUAGGUUGUUGGUGGGUAAAAGCCUACCAAGCCGACGAUCUGUAGCUGGUCUGAGAGGACGACCAGCCACACUGGGACUGAGACACGGCCCAGACUCCUACGGGAGGCAGCAGUGGGGAAUUUUGGACAAUGGGCGCAAGCCUGAUCCAGCCAUGCCGCGUGCGGGAAGAAGGCCUUCGGGUUGUAAACCGCUUUUGUCAGGGAAGAAACGCUCCGGGCUAAUACCUUGGGGUAAUGACGGUACCUGAAGAAUAAGCACCGGCUAACUACGUG
RNAcentral lists this ribosomal RNA (501 nucleotides) under uncultured bacterium. RNAcentral describes it as "bacterial SSU rRNA". It matches the Rfam family "Bacterial small subunit ribosomal RNA", at positions 8 to 507 of the family's 1533-position model. The record is from RNAcentral.